UUCGUUGCGCUGUGCUUUCGUUUGUCUAUAUGCGUCUAUGUAACUACAUGCUCGCCUAUAUUGGGAUGUGUAUGCAUGUGAAGUUUUCAAAUGUUCAUUGGCCUCGCAGAUAAGCAGCACGUCAAUUUUGUUUUGCCGCUACGAAAAUCUCAAAGAUGAAGACGAUAACAAUUGCUCGUGUCUUGGAUGUUUGCAGUUAAAUGGCGACUGCAUAAGGACUGCGUUGGCUAUGCUGAUAGUUUGCAAGCCUAACAUAUUGUGGUGUUCGAGUUUGAUUCCCGAUCGAGAAUACGUGUACAUAUUUUAGCGCUAGCUGCUUGUCUGCAAGGCAACUGCACGUUGCAAAACUUCAAAUGCAUUCCAUAUGGACCCACCAAUCAAAUAAAUAUAGGCGAGCAUGUAGUUACAUAGACGCAUACGCUCGUGCCCAUCGUUACGAAUUCGAUCCGUGAAUGAACUGAGUGUGUGACGUACUCUGCGCACUGGAUUCUAAUCGCAGCGCUCGACUCUUUCAAGAGUUAAAGCUCUACAUAUGUAUUACAUGUCUCUGAGAUUUAGGUGUUCUUACGGACAGAAAGACAUGGCUCUGUCGUCUCGGCUGUUGAUGCUGAUCUAUAGUUAAUCGGGUCGGAGAUGCCCACUUCUGACUGUUACAUACAUUUUCUGCCGACACAAAGUUAUAAAAUCAAAGGAGCUUAUAUAAAAAAAAAUUUUGAUUAUUCGACAAAAUUAACAAAUUUUUUCACUCCAUUGUUGCUAGUCGGAAUGAGCGGACAUUAACUUGAACGUAAAAACAUACUAAGAAAGAACAAGUAAAAACAUUACUACUUUGUGUUAAAGAUAUCAAAAAUACACCCCAAGAAGGACGUUUGUAGCCCGUUGUCUGGAGCUUACAUAGUUCCUAAAAGGUAGGUGACGGAUGAAUAGACUGACAUCGCAAUAAACCCCUCAAGGUUAUUUUAAAAAGUGAACAAGUAUAUAAUGGAUCUUAAUAUGAAUAAGAGUUCGUGGUCAAAUCGAUUGCUACCACAAAAGGAAUUAAUUCACAUAAAAAUUGUAAUUGUAAUUAAAUUGUACCAGUUAUGUGGAGACAUAAUAAUAUCAUACAAAUACACUUGUGAAAUAAAACAGAUAAUG
This is a long non-coding RNA of Drosophila nasuta, 1137 nucleotides long. RefSeq lists it as uncharacterized. NCBI's taxonomy places the organism in Eukaryota, Metazoa, Arthropoda, Insecta, Diptera, Drosophilidae. The record is from RefSeq and is a predicted model, not a curated record. The transcript has 3 exons.